ACACAGCAAUACAUAACUAACUAACACAGGCAGUGAGAGAGAGAGAAAUCAAAGGCUUAUUCUGAGUUUGGGGCUUGAGCAACUGAGCAGAGGACAGUGCCAUUGACUGAAAGUAGGGAAGCCUGGAAGAAGAAAAGGACGAGGAAUCACGAUGUGGCUCUUGAAAUGUCUUUUAGACAUCGGGAGUAGAGGUACCAGGUAGAUGUUGACUAUUAGUCUCCAGGCUGAAGAGAUCAUUGAGGGCCCCUGGCAUGGGGCUCAUGGGUAAAGCCAGGGACACCCAAGGAGAAAAGAUGAGGGGUCCUGGACCAAGCCCUGGGGCCCUCCAAACUUUAGGGGUAGGACAGAGGAGAAGGAAUCAGACGAAGGAGAGGCCAGCAGGGUGGGAGGAAACCCGGAAGACUGCAGCAACUCAAAGCCAAGAGAAGAGAGAGUUGCAAGAAGGAAAGAGAUCAGAGAAGGGACUGGCUGCAGAGCAAGAAGUUCAGAAGAGCGGCUCCUCCCUGGUGACAGCGACUUCAAAGAAACCAGACGGUUAACAGCAAGCACAGCAGUGGCCAGCUCUGGAGUGUCUACCAAAUGCCUGGCACUUCGAUGGAUUUUCCUGUUGAAUCAUCACCCUCAAGCACUUUUGGGUGAGCCCUCCCCAGCUUUCUCCCAGAGUUGUCCAGGGUCAGGAUCCCUUGCAGGGUCUAUGAACUAAACUGGAGAAUUAGUAGGCACCUCCUCCAAGGCAAACUGGGCUCUGGACCUGAAGCAGAGGGCUGCCCACCCUGUCCAGAUGCCAGUAGCAGCCCUCUCCCAGUUGUGACAACCAAAAAUGUCUCCAGACAUUGCCAAAUGUCCCCUGGAGUGGGGGUGGGGGCGACCAAGACCAUCCCAGCAGCUGAGAACCACCGCUCAAAACGCUGAGGUCUUGCGCUCCUUGGGUCUUUACAAAUAUCUGGGAACAGAAAAGAUCGCCCUGAACACCCUGUACUGCCUUCCACUAACUCAGGUCUCCAACAUGCCCGGGAGGGAGUGAAGAUGCUGAUGGUCCUCCCCUGUCACUCACAGGAGCCCAGAGAGCUCAAUGACACCCGAAGGUCGCACAGCACUGGCCACACUCACUGCCCUCCCACCUACCUCCUCCCACCCACUCUGUCCACCUCCAUGGUUUGCCCUGGCUCGGGGGCAACUCGACACUUCUCCAUGGAACCAAAGGGCUGCUUCCCACUGGAAAAUCCCCAGACCCUGAAAUGACCUGGAGGAGCUGUUGAAGCUAAAAUAACAAGUUCACAUCGGAGUUCACCCUUCCAGCGGCUGAGUGCCCCGAGGAAGGGAGGCUCCCUGCACAGGCCAGGGGUGCUGAUCUCUGAGAUGUUUUCCCCACCCCCACCCCCACGCCGAAGCCAGACAAGCAGCCAGGAACUGGCGUCACCAUUCUCCAGUCCCCCAGACACUCGUCCCACCGCCACCACCCGUGAGCCAUCGUUCCAGGGUCUGACAUUCUGUCGGCUUCACACCACCUCCCAGUGCCCCAGCCAGGAAUGCUUCCUGGAUAAAAUAUUAAACAUGCAAAUCUGA
This is a long non-coding RNA of Callorhinus ursinus (northern fur seal), 1566 nucleotides long. RefSeq lists it as uncharacterized. The record is from RefSeq and is a predicted model, not a curated record. NCBI's taxonomy places the organism in Eukaryota, Metazoa, Chordata, Mammalia, Carnivora, Otariidae.